Molecule: ribosomal RNA, 253 nt
Filed under: uncultured bacterium
Lineage: Bacteria
Description: partial 16S ribosomal RNA
Rfam family: Bacterial small subunit ribosomal RNA
Source: RNAcentral
UACGAAGGGUGCAAGCGUUACUCGGAAUUAUUGGGCGUAAAGAGCUCGUAGGCGGUUUGUUGCGUCGGCUGUGAAAUCCCGAGGCUCAACCUCGGGUCUGCAGUCGAUACGAGCAAACUAGAGUGUUGCAGGGGAGACUGGAAUUCCUGGUGUAGCGGUGAAAUGCGCAGAUAUCAGGAGGAACACCGGUGGCGAAGGCGGGUCUCUGGGCAACAACUGACGCUGAGGAGCGAAAGCGUGGGGAGCGAACAGG